GUCAGUAGCUCAGUUGGAUAGAGCACAGGCCUUCUAAGCCUGGGGUCGGAGGUUCGAACCCUCUCUG
RNAcentral lists this transfer RNA (67 nucleotides) under pig gut metagenome. It matches the Rfam family "tRNA", at positions 5 to 66 of the family's 71-position model. Rfam says of the family: Transfer RNA (tRNA) molecules are approximately 80 nucleotides in length. The record is from RNAcentral.